AACGUAGGGGGCAAGCGUUAUCCGGAAUUACUGGGUGUAAAGGGAGCGUAGACGGUAAUGUAAGUCUGGAGUGAAAGGCGGGGGCCCAACCCCCGGACUGCUCUGGAAACUAUGUUACUAGAGUGCAGGAGAGGUAAGCGGAAUUCCUAGUGUAGCGGUGAAAUGCGUAGAUAUUAGGAGGAACACCAGUGGCGAAGGCGGCUUACUGGACUGUAACUGACGUUGAGGCUCGAAAGCGUGGGGAGCAAACAGG
RNAcentral lists this ribosomal RNA (253 nucleotides) under uncultured bacterium. RNAcentral's name for it is "partial 16S ribosomal RNA". It matches the Rfam family "Bacterial small subunit ribosomal RNA", at positions 524 to 776 of the family's 1533-position model. The record is from RNAcentral.